This 1957-nucleotide long non-coding RNA is filed under the name Homo sapiens (human). RNAcentral's name for it is "PREDICTED lncRNA (TCONS_00068295)". Lineage: Eukaryota; Metazoa; Chordata; Mammalia; Primates; Hominidae. The record is from RNAcentral.
GCCGCGUCCGCGCGCGCGGGGCGGCCGCGGCGGUGAGCCUGCGCGUCAGGGCCGCCGGCCUCUCCUUGGCUGUUGGAGGUGAUAGGGGUCGAGGGGAGGGAAAAAGGGGCUGGCGUCAGCCGCCCCUGUGAGGUGGCCGUAGCGUGGACGAGUAAGAAGGGUUGAGUAAAGUGGACAAACACCUGGUUAGGAGAAGAGGGCAGGCCCGCAGCCGCCCUCCGGAGGAGGACUCGGGGCCUCGCGGGCGCCGGAGGAGGUUCCUGGGCCUCGGAGGGCCGCCCCGGCGCGCCGCCCCGGCGCGAGCGGGCGCGGGCGGGGGAGGGGAAGUGAGAGGUUGUUUAUGACCGGGGACUAAUCUCCUCCGCGAGUCCCAGCGCUCCCUCUGGGGAGUGCGGUUGAGGGGCUGUCCUCGCACGGAGCCUCGCUCGGCCUCGGGGGAGCCACGAGAGGUGGGAGUUGGACCCGCAGCGGGCCAGGAGCCCUGUCAUUGGAGGACCCGCCAAAAAGGAAGCAAACCCUCUUUUUCUUUAUCCAACCCCAAAUAGCUAGGGCCUAGGGGGAAGACUCACAUAUCGAUAAAUGGUUUGUUGCCCGUUUUAUUCUCUGGGAAAUACAACUGAUCUUACCAAAGAAAUAACCUGUCUCUUGCCGUGUUUACUUAGAGCCAUAGAAUACCUGUUUCAGAGCUGAAGGGGACCUGAGCCCAUGAUAAUCCAUUACCUCGUGAGAAAGCGGAAAAACUGACUUCAGCUUGCCCAGAUGGCGCAGAGAAUGGGUUUCCCGUAACCCCGCCUGUGUCUUUCCUUCAGCCUCGUCCCAAAUGCCGUGGGAGGGAAGGCACUCUCUGUCAAGCUGCUGUCACCUUACCUGAAGUAAGGAGUCCACGCCUGCAUGUCCGAGGAAAACAGUUUUCUCAAACACAUUAGUUGAAAAACUGAAGACGCUGCCUAAAAUACAAGCUGAGUUAGAGACAGCCCUUGUAAGACUAGAACACAUAAAAGCACUGUGGAAGUGGCAACAGGGAAGGUGAGAAGAGGAUUAUCAAAGACAUUGUGAUGAUAGAAUGGACAGGACUUGGUGAACUGAGUUGAUGCAGGCAGAAUCAUGAUAUUGUGUGAUUAAAGCCAUCUUGUGUCAUAUAAGGCUCAAACUGUAAUACUGGCUCUUCUCAGGUCUUGAGCCUACUUGCCUUCAGAUUGGAACUUUACCAUCUGCUCUCCUGGUUCUCAGGCCUUCAGGGGAGUCUAGAACUAUGCCACUGACUCUCCUGGUCUCCAGUUUUUCAACUUCAAAUCUUGGGAUUUAGUCUCGAUGAUCAUAGGAAAUCAGAAGUGGAGAGGAUGUAUGCAGAGGGAGCUGUGAGAAGUGGACAGCUGCCCACACUAACCAGUGAGACUAAAGACCCAGCCAAGUUCUUCAGGGAGAUUGCUUUGGUAGCUAUGGGAAUAAUAUGGACAAGCAAGCAAGUCAUCUGGACUCUUGAUGGGCUGAGAUGCCACGCUGGCAAGCAGGUGGUCAACCUCUAGGAGAUUCAACAAGCAUGCCUGUGAGGGUUCAGAGCGCUGUGUCAGGAAUGUGAUGGGAAGUAACAGGCAAAGGCAAAAUAUUACUGGUAUUAAGGAAAUGGCGUUAAAGAAAACGGACACUUCACUGUCUACUUGUGUCAGAGCUUCCCCAUGGUCAUUUAAUCUAACACGCCUGUAAGCUAAGUGUUCCUACUUUUUCAGAAAAAGAAAUGGAAACUAAGUAACAUGAAUUAACAUAGUCCAGGGUCACAAAGCAACAUGGAACAAGAACCUGGAUCUGAAUUCAGAGGCAGAAUGCUGGAAUCUAAGCCAGAAUGAGGUUACUGCCUAGGCAAAGAAGAAGACAGCUCAUCACAGGCUCAGCCAAUUCAUUGAGGCUCUUCAUGUUACUCUGGAAUCACAAAAUGUAAGAAUAAAAGGGGUAGAAAGUC